RNAcentral lists this ribosomal RNA (393 nucleotides) under uncultured bacterium. RNAcentral's name for it is "partial 16S ribosomal RNA". It matches the Rfam family "Bacterial small subunit ribosomal RNA", at positions 523 to 918 of the family's 1533-position model. The record is from RNAcentral.
AUACGGAAGGUCCGGGCGUUAUCCGGAUUUAUUGGGUUUAAAGGGAGCGCAGGCGGAGAUGCAAGCGUGACGUCAAAUUUCGGGGCUCAACCCCGUCUCGCGUCGCGAACUGCGUCCCUUGGUUGCGGGAAGGGGAGGCGGAACUCGUGGUGUAGCGGUGAAAUGCAUAGAUAUCACGAAGAACUCCGAUCGCGAAGGCAGCCUUCCGGCCCGUCAACGACGCUCAUGCUCGAAGGUGCGUGUAUCAAACAGGAUUAGAUACCCUGGUAGUCCGCACAGUAAACGAUGGACACCCGCGGUUUGGCCUGUAUGGCUGAGCCGCCAAGCGAAAGCGUUAAGUGUCCCACCUGGGGAGUACGCCGGCAACGGUGAAACUCAAAGGAAUUGGCGGGG